GGGGGAGGAGGGAAAGAAGCAGAGCUAAGAUGGCAGUUUAGUAGCAACAAAGGCUGGAACUGCUCCAAGAAUCUUCCCAAACCAAUUUUAAAAUAUCUUUUUUUGAUAUUUAGUCAAAAUGACUUUAGUCAGAGAACCAACAAGGAGAGGGAGUGAGGGGACUCUCCUGUGGAAAACAACUUGAAAGGUUAUAUGGAAGAUAACUAAAAGAUACUAAUGUCUUCGCCAAUGCUUCUAUAGCAGUAAGGAGGUGAAACCUAUGAGUGUGGAAGAUCACAUAUGCUAUCAUAUUUUGUUGCUGUGUUUUAUUUAUUUGUUGAACUGCUUUUUUCCCCUCUUAAAAAAAAUCUGUGUCAAAAGGGUUUGGCUUCCUGGGCAAGAGAAAGGAAAUGACCUACUUGGAAAUGAAUUGCAUAAAAACAAAAAAGAUCAAUAAAAAUAAGAUAAUUUAAAAAUAAAAUACA
This is a long non-coding RNA of Monodelphis domestica (gray short-tailed opossum), 464 nucleotides long. RefSeq lists it as uncharacterized. The record is from RefSeq and is a predicted model, not a curated record. Lineage: Eukaryota; Metazoa; Chordata; Mammalia; Didelphimorphia; Didelphidae.